UCCGGCUUAUCACCGGCAGUUUCUCUAGAGUGCCCAACUAAAUGGUAGCAACUAGAGACGAGGGUUGCGCUCGUUGCGGGACUUAACCCAACAUCUCACGACACGAGCUGACGACAGCCAUGCAGCACCUGUCCUGGUGUCCCGAAGGAGGCCCCGGCUUUCACCGGGGUUUCACCAGGAUGUCAAGCCCAGGUAAGGUUCUUCGCGUUGCUUCGAAUUAAACCACGUGCUCCACCGCUUGUGCGGGCCCCCGUCAAUUCCUUUGAGUUUCAGCCUUGCGGCCGUACUCCCCAGGCGGGGUGCUUAACGCGUUAGCUCCGACGCUGACGGGGUCGCUCCCCCCAGCAUCUAGCACCCAUCGUUUACGGCGUGGACUAC
RNAcentral lists this unclassified non-coding RNA (378 nucleotides) under uncultured bacterium. RNAcentral's name for it is "contains 16S-23S intergenic spacer region". The record is from RNAcentral.